GCUAAAUAGCUAGCUUAAUUAUUAUACUAAAUUAAUAAUAUAAAUAAAAGUACAAAACCUAAAAUUAUUAAUCAAAUCAUUUUUCCACCUUAGUACGGGCGACGAAAAAGGUUCCAUAAGCAAUAGAAAAAGUACCGCAAGGGAAAGCUGAAAGAGCAAUGAAACAAGUCAUUAAAGCACAAAAAAGCAGAGAUUAAUGCUCGUACCUUUUGCAUCAUGAUUUAGCAAGAAAUCAACAAGCAAAGAGACCUUUAGUUUGUUAUCCCGAAACCAAGUGAGCUACCCCGGGACAGCCUAAAAGGGCCAACCCGUCUCUGUGGCAAAAGAGUGGGAAGAGCCCCGGGUAGAGGUGACAGACCUACCGAACUUGGUGAUAGCUGGUUGCCUAAGAAAUGAAUAGAAGUUCAGCCUCAUGCUCCCUUUAAUCACACAAGUAAUAUCUAAUUUAGAAAAUAAGAAAAGCAUGAGAGUUAGUUAAAGGGGGUACAGCCCCUUUAAUUAAGGAUACAACUUUAUCAGGUGGAUAGGGAUUAUAAUUAAUAAAAUUUAUUGUUUUAGUGGGCCUAAAAGCAGCCAUCUGAACAGAAAGCGUUAAAGCUCAAACGAUGUAAAAUUUAUUAUUCCAAUAAAACAUCCCACUCCCCUAAACGUAUUAGGCCACUCCAUGAUUACAUGGAAGAGACCAUGCUAAAAUGAGUAACAAGAGACAACAUCUCUCCAGGCAUAAGUGUAAGCCAGCCCGGAUAAACCACCGGCAAUUAACGAACCCAAUAAAAGAGGGUAAUAUAAUUAAUAUUAAUUACAAGAAAAUCAUAUAAAAUACUAAUCGUUGACCCCACACUGGAAUGCCCCAAGGAAAGACUAAAAGAAAGGGAAGGAACUCGGCAAACACAAGCCUCGCCUGUUUACCAAAAACAUCGCCUCCUGCAAAAUUCAAAGUAUAGGAGGUCCAGCCUGCCCAGUGACCAUAAGUUCAACGGCCGCGGUAUUUUGACCGUGCAAAGGUAGCGCAAUCACUUGUCUUUUAAAUGAAGACCUGUAUGAAUGGCUAAACGAGGGCUUAGCUGUCUCCCCUCUCCAGUCAGUGAAAUUGAUCUGCCCGUGCAGAAGCGGACAUAAAUUUACAAGACGAGAAGACCCUUUGGAGCUUAAGGUUCAAGUCCACCCGCGUUAAACAACUUACUAAAUAAGAGUUAAACCUAGCAGAAAAUGGAACUUUACCUUCGGUUGGGGCGACCACGGAGAAAAGAUUAUCCUCCGAGUGGAUUGGGUUAAUAAACCUAAAACCAAGAAAGACAUUUCUAAGCCACAAAAAAUUUGACCAAUAAUGAUCCGGCCAAUAAGACCGAUCAACGGACCAAGUUACCCUAGGGAUAACAGCGCAAUCCUCUCCCAGAGUCCAUAUCGACGAGGGGGUUUACGACCUCGAUGUUGGAUCAGGACAUCCUAAUGGUGCAGCCGCUAUUAAGGGUUCGUUUGUUCAACGAUUAAAGUCCUACGUGAUCUGAGUUCAGACCGGAGUAAUCCAGGUCAGUUUCUAUCUGUAACGUCACUUUUCCUAGUACGAAAGGACCGGAAAAGAGAGGCCCAUGCCAAAGGUAUGCCUCACCCAUAAUUAAUGAAGACAACUAAAUUAAAUAAAUGGAGGACCUACAAUUUAGGCAAAAAUAAAGCCAC
RNAcentral lists this ribosomal RNA (1677 nucleotides) under Cobitis matsubarae. RNAcentral describes it as "16S rRNA". It matches the Rfam family "Bacterial large subunit ribosomal RNA". Lineage: Eukaryota; Metazoa; Chordata; Actinopteri; Cypriniformes; Cobitidae. The record is from RNAcentral.